GGGGAAUGCAGUGGCUGUGCCGGUGGCGAGGGCUCUUGGAUAUGGGUUGGGGUUGGCCCGCCAAGGUUUAGGGGAUGAUCUUCCGGUUUUUUCUCUGCCUCCGGAUUUCCCGAAACCUGCGGUAAGGUCGUCUGUCACUGUGGAAGGAUGAAAUCUGUUGCUGGUGAGGGGCAGCAUUGCUGUUGGCUGUUUUUAAGUUAUGUUUUGUGC
RNAcentral lists this unclassified non-coding RNA (210 nucleotides) under Hevea brasiliensis (rubber tree). The record is from RNAcentral. Lineage: Eukaryota; Viridiplantae; Streptophyta; Magnoliopsida; Malpighiales; Euphorbiaceae.